GAGGGCAUAGCUUAGUGGUAGAGUGCAUGCUUAGCAUGCAAGAGGUCCUGGGUUCAACCCCCAAUACCUCCA
This 72-nucleotide transfer RNA is filed under the name Camelus bactrianus (Bactrian camel). It matches the Rfam family "tRNA". From Rfam's summary of the family: Transfer RNA (tRNA) molecules are approximately 80 nucleotides in length. Their secondary structure includes four short double-helical elements and three loops (D, anti-codon, and T loops). The record is from Rfam by way of RNAcentral. RNAcentral also lists the same sequence under 1 other name. Lineage: Eukaryota; Metazoa; Chordata; Mammalia; Artiodactyla; Camelidae.